UACUUGGUACCGGUUAUGAACAUAUUGUUAGAACAAGGUGUUGCUGGUGCGUCCCCGCCAUGGUUCAAAAGCCAGAAGUUGUAACUGUCGCACUCACUCGUGAAUUUUCGAUUCGAAUUCACCGCGGGUCGUGUAAAUUCUCCUACAAUUCGGUUUUAAAAUCUGUCAUUAUAUAUGAAGGAACUGUCACGAGCCAUCAGCGGUCAAAUCUUCAAGCUGGGUGAAAUACUCGUGUCGCGACCGCGGGGAGACUCGAGGAUUUUUCUCGACCUUGGAGUAUUUUACUUCUCGACGGCCAGGUUUUUAAUUUUGGACGAAGCUGAUCGAAUGCUUUAUGGGUUUCGGUCCCGAUAUUGAAAAAAUUGUCAACCAUCCAACGAUGCCUCCGAAAGGAAUCCGUCGUGUUUGUAUGUUUACGGUUUAACUGGCGCCCAAGUCGGAAAAUUGCCUUGUCUGGAAAUUUGGCAAAGUGUGACGGCUUUUGGCAGAACUAUGAUUGAGAAAACAAGAGAGGAUGUGGAGUCUAAAUUUUGCGGCGAGAAUGGCUAUGCCCAUGACGCCAAAGUAACCUAUGGUAACAGAUUCUGUAAUGGUGAAAUUCGGUGUACCCACGGUGGCCGAAGCCAUGGAAUUAGGCCGAGAAGCUGCCGCAUUUAUGUCGGCAAAAUUUGUCAAACCCAUUAAUUUGGAAUUGGGAAAAGUCGAUUACCCCUAUUUAUUGAUCAACAAAAAGAGGUAUGCACGAUUGUAUUGGACCAAACCUGAAAAGUUUGACAAAUGGAUUGUAAAGAUAUAGAACCCGUUCGUCGUGAUAAUUGCCAACUCGUUGCCAAUCUUAUCAAUAACUGUCUGCAGAAAAUUUUGAUGGAGCGAGACCCGGAUGGAGCCUUAGAAUACGCCAAACAAACAAUUUCCGACUUGCUGUGCAACAAAGUCGAUAUCUCACUUCUGGUGAUUACCAAGGAGCUGAUUAAAACAGAUAAAGACUACGCCAGCAAACAAGCACAUGUGGAACUAGCUCACAAGAUGCGUAAGCGAGAUGCUGGUACAACCCCAAAAUUAGGGGAUCGAGUUCCGUAUAUCAUUAUCGCAGCUGCUAAAAACGAACCUCAAGGCGGAAGACGCGAUUUUAGUCCUGGAACACAGCGUACCUAUUGAUGCCCAAUACUAUUUGGAAAAUCAGCUUUCAAAACCCUUUGUUUGGAUUUUUGAACCCAUACUUGGAUCUAAAGCGGAAUCAUUGUUGCUACAUGGUUACCAUACCCGGACGCCUUCAGUUGUUACUUCAAAAAUUGGUGGAUUGGCUAGCUUUACCACAUGCAAAUCCACCUGUGUUGGAUGCAAAACCGUCCCUCCAGACGAUAGUGCUGUAUGCAAAUUUUGCAAGCCGAACGAAUCGGAGUUCUACCAGAGGGAAAUUGGCCAACUUUAUGCUCUCGAAGAGAAGUUUAAUCGUUUAUGGACAGAAUGUCAACGGUGCCAGGGAAAUCUCAACGAAAUGAUUCUUUGUUCCAACCGAGAUUGCCCCAUCUUUUACAUGAGGACAAAAGUUAGAAAAAAUCUCACGGAACAGGAUAAACUUAUGAAAAUAUUCGGCCUACCCUGACAACCUACCGCUCUCGUCAAUGAUGGUGCAUACAGGUAAUGGUUUGGCUUCUGUAAAAUAGAUUGAAAACCAUAAAUUACGCAUGAACGAUGUGGUCUGGCGAAUACCUUGCCAAGGUGACCAUGCAUUACUUUCGAGUGUAUUUAAGGUAUACCAUUUACUUGCUUUGUAAAAGCUAAGUUUUUAACUUGUGCAUCAUAACGAUUUUGAAUUGGGUAAGUUGCAAGUCGGUAGAUUUGUUCCGCAGUUUCCCGGAUACCAGCAUCCUGCUUCGCGAGAACUACUCUACGUUGUUCGGGGGGGGGUGGGGGCUUAGACGAACAUCUGAAUCCGAUAUUGAAGAAGUCUUGCAUCGAUGGACACUGACAAAAUAUAGGCAGAUUCGUAAUUAUAAAGAAUUGGGAAAGAAAGUUGACGGAGGCUCAGUGCCAAAAAAAUUAUGGUAGUUGGAAUGAUGACCAACCAACAAACAAUUCAACCAACAAAAAGGUAC
Long non-coding RNA from Daphnia carinata, 2099 nucleotides. RefSeq lists it as uncharacterized. Lineage: Eukaryota; Metazoa; Arthropoda; Branchiopoda; Diplostraca; Daphniidae. The record is from RefSeq and is a predicted model, not a curated record. The transcript has 11 exons.